UACGUAGGGCGCAAGCGUUGUCCGGAAUUAUUGGGCGUAAAGAGCUCGUAGGCGGUUUGUCGCGUCUGUCGUGAAAGCUUGGGGCUUAACCCCAAGUCUGCGGUGGAUACGGGCAGACUAGAGGCAGGUAGGGGAGAACGGAAUUCCUGGUGUAGCGGUGAAAUGCGCAGAUAUCAGGAGGAACACCGGUGGCGAAGGCGGGUCUCUGGGCCGAUACUGACGCUGAGGAGCGAAAGCGUGGGGAGCAAACAGG
Molecule: ribosomal RNA, 253 nt
Filed under: uncultured bacterium
Lineage: Bacteria
Description: partial 16S ribosomal RNA
Rfam family: Bacterial small subunit ribosomal RNA
Source: RNAcentral